This is a long non-coding RNA of Onychostoma macrolepis, 753 nucleotides long. RefSeq lists it as uncharacterized. Lineage: Eukaryota; Metazoa; Chordata; Actinopteri; Cypriniformes; Cyprinidae. The record is from RefSeq and is a predicted model, not a curated record. The transcript has 5 exons.
CAGGAAUUGGACGGACAAUCCCAAACCGGAAAUCCUCCAAGUGUUUGGUGCUGAUAAACCCUCUGGCUGCACAAACACUCCCCUCAUGCCCCUCAAGUCCCUCUACGGAAGAAAGUCAGUCUGGAUGGACAUGAGGAUUCCUGUUGCUGUUUUAUGGAGAUUCUUUCUACACGUUGUCACAUCCAUCUUCUUCUUUUAAGCCUGCAGGGUCAAAAUCACAUAACUAGCUUGACUGGUGGAGGAUGAAUGACCUGACGGGACAAUCUUGAGAUUCCACAGCGGAAGAGAGGAGGACAGAUGAAAGAGAGCAGAGCUCAGCUGAAGUCGGAUCACUGUGCCACAGACUGCCAGACAUGAACGGAAAUAUCAGGAAAUGGCAUCUCAGUUUCCUGUUUCUUCCAGAGAAAAAACUCAACCCAUUGCUCUCUAUCUCUUGUGUUUCUUAUACCAUUCUAUCUAUGGUGAAAAACAUAUCGGUUACCCUGCGGAGAGUUUUUUUCCAAAUCAAAAACAGUGAGAGAAUGAUUUAUGUUUAAGUGUUCAUCUGUUAUAUUGUUAAUAUUUCAUUCUAAUAGAUGUUUCACUCGUGGUGGAUUGUUUUAUAAUAAUAUUAACACAGGUAUUACAGACCCCACUGGUUCAAACAGACAAAACAGAUUCACGAUGUUUACACUCUUCAGGGAAAUCAGUGUAUGAAUAGAUUACAUAUUUAGACUUCAAGUCAGUGUAUUUUCAUAAUUCAAUACCCAGAUU